CCCUUAGAUGUUCUGGGCCGCACGCGCGCUACACUGAUGCAUUCAAAGAGCCUAUCCUUGACCGACAGGUCCGGGUAAUCUUUGAAUCUGCAUCGUGACGGGGAUAGAUUAUUGCAAUUAUUAAUCUUCAACGAGGAAUGCCUAGUAGGCGCAAGUCAUCAGCUUGCGUCGAUUACGUCCCUGCCCUUUGUACACACCGCCCGUCGCUCCUACCGAUUGGGUGUGCUGGUGAAAUGUUCGGAUCGGCCGUUUGUCGCGGUUUCCGCGGCUCGUGGCUGAGAAGUUCAUUAAACCCUCCCACCUAGAGGAAGGAGAAGUCGUAACA
This 325-nucleotide ribosomal RNA is filed under the name uncultured eukaryote. Its description in RNAcentral is "partial 18S ribosomal RNA". It matches the Rfam family "Eukaryotic small subunit ribosomal RNA", at positions 1470 to 1796 of the family's 1831-position model. The record is from RNAcentral.